This 253-nucleotide ribosomal RNA is filed under the name uncultured bacterium. Its description in RNAcentral is "partial 16S ribosomal RNA". It matches the Rfam family "Bacterial small subunit ribosomal RNA", at positions 524 to 776 of the family's 1533-position model. The record is from RNAcentral.
UACAGAGGUCUCAAGCGUUGUCCGGAAUUAUUGGGCGUAAAGAGCGUGUAGGCGGUUCGGUAAGUCUGCCGUGAAAACCUGGGGCUCAACCCCGGGCGUGCGGUGGAUACUGCCGGGCUAGAGGGUGGUAGAGGCGAGUGGAAUUCCCGGUGUAGCGGUGAAAUGCGCAGAUAUCGGGAGGAACACCAGUAGCGAAGGCGGGUCUCUGGGCCGAAACUGACGCUGAGGAGCGAAAGCGUGGGGAGCGAACAGG